RNAcentral lists this ribosomal RNA (247 nucleotides) under uncultured bacterium. RNAcentral's name for it is "partial 16S ribosomal RNA". It matches the Rfam family "Bacterial small subunit ribosomal RNA", at positions 523 to 769 of the family's 1533-position model. The record is from RNAcentral.
AUACAGAGGGUGCAAGCGUUAAUCGGAAUUACUGGGCGUAAAGCGCGCGUAGGUGGUUUGUUAAGUUGGAUGUGGAAGCCCCGGGCUCAACCUGGGAGCUGCAUCCAAAACUGGCAAGCUAGAGUACGGUAGAGGGUGGUGGAAUUUCCUGUGUAGCGGUGAAAUGCGUAGAUAUAGGAAGGAACACCAGUGGCGAAGGCGACCACCUGGACUGAUACUGACACUGAGGUGCGAAAGCGUGGGGAGC